This is a long non-coding RNA of Dama dama (fallow deer), 2027 nucleotides long. RefSeq lists it as uncharacterized. The transcript is spliced from 7 exons. Lineage: Eukaryota; Metazoa; Chordata; Mammalia; Artiodactyla; Cervidae. The record is from RefSeq and is a predicted model, not a curated record.
UCUUGUGGUCACCACCCUGCCAGGGACGUGAGUUAGCAGAGGGCAUUUGCUUGCUCAGGAGACCGGAACGGGAGGAGCUGAUGUGCUGGGGGGACACUUAAAGGGGCUGAUGUCUUUUGGACCUGCCUGGGAGGCCAGUUCAGAGCGUGAAGAGUAGGUGUGGGGCUUGAUUUGCCCCUGGUGCCUCGCAAAAGAGAACCGAAAUUCAAGGCGUGGCUCCUGGAAGCAGGAUUUGGAGGAAAGCUUAGAGCUCACCUAGUCCUAAUCUCUACUUUUCCUCGGGCUCCCUAGCUUUCAUCUCUGAUAUUUCAUGACUUCUGAUGGACCCUUAAAGAGAGGUGGCAAGGCAAAGAAGGAAGCAGAGGCCGUGAACAGAAGGAACUGGGAAGCCCCUGGUACCCAGAUGGACACCUUGUAGGUGCCAUGGUCAGCUGUGACUGUCCCCUGACCCAGAGCCCUGAGUCAGCCCUGUCAUCGCCCAGCCUGGCCCUGCUGUGGAGCCUCCCUCCACGUGUGCCUGAAGAUGCGGGUCCGGCCAGUGACUGCCUCUGUCUUCUCUCAGCUUACUAAACCUGUCUGAUGCUAAUGGACUAGUCUUUGUACUGAGGCUCCAGGAUGCUGCUUCUUCCCUCCAAGUACUAGGAUUGCAUCUCCACGCUAACAUGCUGUGAGGCUCUGGGAACCACUCUGGGACCAAGUGGGGUCACCACUGCAGUGAGAGGAGAAUGUGGACUUCAAAAGAAACUGCCGUGGAAAUGGCUGUGGUGAGCCUCACUCAACCUGGAAUGCCUUCCUGCAGCUCUCUGGGGCCCCACUCCAGUAGUUUUCCGGCUGCCGUCACGCUGGCCAUCGCCUCCCACCUCCCAUGUGGAUUUGAAACAGCUCAACUGGAAUUCCGUCACCUCCACUAGCUUUGUUGGUAGUGAUGCUUCCUAAGGUCCACUUGACUUCUCAUUCCAGGAUGUCUGGCUCUAGCAGGAAGCCCACCCUACGUGGAGAGUGUUCUCUGGGUUACCAGCCCCCGUGGAUCCCAGCUUGGAGUCUACCCCAUCCUAGACUCCAGCCUCAGUGGGCUCCAGCCCCCAGCUGUUUAGGGGGAAUCCCAGACUCCCAGAGCUGUGAUGGAGUUACAGGAUGUCAGCCGUCAGCAGGGCCAGUGCCACUCGGUGAGAGUCCAUUCAGGAGGCAGCUCUUGCUCUGGAGAAGAAACUUCUGCCUUCAGACACCCCUUAUUCCAAUCAGACUGCCAGUCAGAUCACGACUGCUGGCAGCCCUGGCAACUGGCUUGGGGUUGGCAUUGGGCCCCAUCCAGGCCAUCUGAGAAUCAUUCUUUGGCCAGUGAACAAGCCAGUUUCCUGCCUUAGUAUUCGCCACUUUUAUGACACUGCACAGGCAAAAGCUCUAUUUCAUGUGCUGGCUCUCAGGGUCUUGGCUGCCCGCGACUGCACCGGCAGACGUCAUCACCUCUGUCUUAAAGAUGAAGAGACAGGCCUGGGAGGUGCUGGGGUUCUGAUUCAUGUGACCUUGGGCAGAAUCAAGCCAGGCAUCCGAUGCUGAGUGCUUGGCAUCCUUCCUACCUCAGACCACGUGGCUGUUGAAUUCUCCUCAGCAUCACCUCCAGGGGUUCCAUGGUUAUGGCAGAGAACAGGAGCUCACCUGCUUACUUUGCCAGAAAGGGAUGAGCAGACUGUCUGUUGGUACCCAAGGCAUCUUACUGAUGCUCUUUGCACUUUUCACCAAAAUCCCCCAAAUCAUACAAAACACUGAGCUGAGUGAACAAUACAUGUGCUGGUAUGCUUGGGGUGAAAUAAACACAUGGAUAUCUGUCACUUACCUUGAAGUGAGCAAAAAACAUGCUGGAGUAAUGGAUGGAGUUGACAGGAAACAAGUACAGCGAAUGUUCACAGUGACAUCUAGAAGGUGGGGUUCACUAAACGAUUCUUUCAACUUUUCUCUCCAUUAGAAAUGUUCAUAAUAUGGGAUGGGAAGGGAGGUGGGAGAGGGGAUCAGGAUGGGGAACACAUGUA